AAGUGUGCUUGUGGCUUCAUCAAUACAGAAAUUUGGAAGCAAUUAAUUUGGAGGAGGAAAGAGUCUAAGUAAGAUGCCUAACAGAUCUUGGUGCGUUGACAACCUUGAAACUUGAUGUUAAUGGACAGGUACAAAGAUGAAGAUGAGCUGAACAGUCUUAGUGGUUGAAGCUGCUGCAUGUAAGAUAAGCAUGUUAAAUCCAUGCCAUGUAUACUGCAAAUCCCAAUCCUGUGCACAAAGCAGGCAUUGCUAAGAAGACCCUGCUGUAUUUAAAAAGCCUAGAUGCACUGAUAGAACCCUCAACACAGGACUCCAGCCAUGGACUACCAUUGGUUCAGAGCUGCCAGUCCAGUAGUAGCUUAUGCAUCACCUACGGUAGAGUGGAAACUCUCCUGCACACGCCAGUCACUCCAAGGGCACUUUAAUUAAAACCACACAAAAUUUUUGUAGAUAACAAUAAACUUGAUUAUGGAUAAAUCAUGAAAUCAAUAAAUAUAGAGUUCCUGGUACUCACCACCACCACCCCUUCUCUAAUUUUUUUUCAAAUUCAGGUAAUCUCUAUACCUUUUGCUUAAAAAAGAAAAGACAAGAAAAUAAAAUUUUACCUUACAAUUCUAACCAUCCUGAAAAGUUUUUGUGGCCUGGGUUAGACAUGGGAAGGGGUUAGGAAGUUCUCAGUAAGAACAAAAGAAGCAAUUAUGCAGGUCAAUAUACAAUGCAUUGAUGACCUAGGUGUGUGGUGGAUGUAGGAGAUGGAAUUCAGCCAGGUGCAUAUUUUCCUGUAAGAGCCUCGAAUGAGUGUGGGAUGAAUAAGAGGAUGAAGGAAUGGUAUAUGUACACACACAGCAAUUUCUCAAUAAUGGAUUUUGCAGACAUAAAUGUCAUCUAGCUUUUAUCGUUUGGUAUAAAAUCUCAAAGGCCUUAGCAAAA
RNAcentral lists this long non-coding RNA (930 nucleotides) under Homo sapiens (human). RNAcentral's name for it is "HSALNT0355916". The record is from RNAcentral. Lineage: Eukaryota; Metazoa; Chordata; Mammalia; Primates; Hominidae.